This is an unclassified non-coding RNA of Gopherus agassizii (Agassiz's desert tortoise), 177 nucleotides long. Lineage: Eukaryota; Metazoa; Chordata; Testudines; Testudinidae. The record is from Ensembl.
UAAACACCCCUGGAGAAUGAAGCUGAUUAUCCACUGAACAGGUACAUCAUGGACAUAAGCAAUGCAAGUUUCCCCACAUUACCCCACCAAUGUGUUUCAAUCCUGUCCUGGAGGGACUCUUCUGUCUCUACUGCUGGAAGGCAAUUCCAUCUUCAGGACUAUUCAAACUAAAAAUUG